UGGUGGAGUGAUUUGUCUGGUUAAUUCCGUUAACGAACGAGACCUCGAUCUGCUAAAUAGACACAUGGAUUCUUUUGGAUCCACUGUGCGCUUCUUAGAGAGACUAUCGGUUAGUAGCCGAAGGAGGUUCGAGGCAAUAACA
Molecule: ribosomal RNA, 142 nt
Filed under: uncultured eukaryote
Lineage: Eukaryota
Description: partial 18S ribosomal RNA
Rfam family: Eukaryotic small subunit ribosomal RNA
Source: RNAcentral